Long non-coding RNA from Cyprinus carpio carpio, 1590 nucleotides. The record is from Ensembl. NCBI's taxonomy places the organism in Eukaryota, Metazoa, Chordata, Actinopteri, Cypriniformes, Cyprinidae.
GUGAUUCAGGAUAAGACAAAAACAUGGUUUGGAAAAUGGAUUCAUGAUGUACUCGCUCAUUAUAUAUAUUUUUUACAUUUUCAACACAAAACAACACUGUGGCACAGCCCUGCACUGAUUGGACCAGAAGAGCCAGGAGCGGUGGAUUUUGUUUAUAUUGGAGAGAAGUAGCUCCGGCUACAAUGUUCUUCCGCCAGACGCGAGCCCCAAAAGUUACCGACUGCAGCUUUAAGAGACAUAAUGGACUAUGCUCUCUUGUUAUGUGGUUCUCCUUUCACUGUGGGAGAGGCCGUUGAUCUUCCAGAGGCAAGUCAGGUCCCCGUUGAUCUUCCAGAGUCAAGGUCCAGUCAAGUCACCCCUGACCGUCCAGAGUCAGGUCAAGUCACCAUUAACACCCAUGAGUCAAGUAAAACCACAGUUAAACUUCAUGAGUCAAGUCACUGUUAAUCUUUAUGAGCCCAGUCAAAUCACUACCGAUCUUCCAGAACAUCAUCACGUCUCAACAGAUCUUCCAGAGCUUCAUCAUACCACAACAGAUCAUCCAGAGCCUUGUAACGUCUCAGCUGAACUUCCAGAGCCUCGUCACAUCCUGUCUGUUGCACCCAGCAAUGUUCUCUCAGCCUGUUGUGUUGCUGUGAAGGAGACUGUUACCGCUGUGGAACCUCCAGAGGUGGCGGCAACUGCUGCAGAACCUUCGGAGCUGUCAGUAGUAUCCAUCCAUGAACUCUCGUCCUAUCCUGUCAUGGUCACGGAGGCCAUCCACCUACUCGCUGUCUGUCCUGCCACGGAGGCCAUCCAUGAACUCCCCGCCUGUCCCGUCACGGCUAUGGAGGCCGUCUAUGAACUCUCGUUCAUUCCUGUCAUGGCUAUGGAGGCCAUCUGUGAACUUUCAACCUGCCUUAUGGCCACAGAGGCCACCAUUAAUCUGUUUGUUAUCUGUUCCAGUCCCACCUAACCAGACUUGCUCUCCUGUGCCAUCGACUCCACUGUGGUGGUCCUCUGCUCUGCCCUGGUGGGCUUCGGUCUCGUCUGCUCGGCUUUGGUGGUCCUCUGCUCUGCCCUGGUGGGCUCUGGCUCCACCCUGGUGGGCUCCGGCACCACCUGCUCCUGCCCUGGCGGGCUCCUGUUCCCGAGUUAAGCCCACGGCGGGCUCCUGUUCCCCAUGUUAGGCCCAGGAAGGGCUCCUGUUCCCCAGUUAAGCCCAGGAAGGGCUCCAGUUCUGCCUGAUCCACCCUGGCUUCCUCUCUGCUGGCUCUGCCCCGGUCCCCGGCCACUCCUCUUCCACACAGAACUCUUUAUUAAACCACUGCAUAUGGAUCUGAACGUCUCUGACUCCUUGUUACACUUGUCCUGUCAUGGUUGCCACUGCUGUGUCUAGUCAUGACAGGGCCGUCUCUCCAGAGUGCUUAUGUAACCAAGCAUAGCUGCAGAAACAUACUUUAUUUAGGGGCUGCUGGGGACGGGGCUUGAUGUUGCAGUGCGGGGCAAUGGUGGGGGAUUUUUGACAAAAUCCUAAUAUUGAUCAGAUCAAACUCUUAUAGAUUAACAUUCAAAUGAAGGCAGAGUUAAAUGCGAACCAAUAUUUGCUUU